GACGAACGCUGGCGGCGUGCUUAACACAUGCAAGUCGAACGGAAAGGCCCUGCUUUUGUGGGGUUCUCGAGUGGCGAACGGGUGAGUAACACGUGAGUAACCUGCCCUUGACUUUGGGAUAACUUCAGGAAACUGGGGCUAAUACCGGAUAGGAUCUCCUGCUGCGUGGUGGGGGUUGGAAAGAUUCGGCGGUUGUGGAUGGAUUCGAGGCUUAUCAGCUUGUUGGUGGGGUAGUGGCUUACCAAGGCUUUGACGGGUAGCCGGCAUGAGAGGGUGACCGGCCACAUUGGGACUGAGAUACGGCCCAGACUGCUACGGGAGGCAGCAGUGGGGAACAUUGCAGAAUGGGCGGAAGCCUGAUGCAGCAACGCCGCGUGCGGGAUGACGGCCUUCGGGUUGUAAACCGCUUUCGCCUGUGACGAAGCGUGAGUGACGGUAAUGGGUAAAGAAGCACCGGCUAACUACGUG
RNAcentral lists this ribosomal RNA (468 nucleotides) under uncultured bacterium. RNAcentral describes it as "partial 16S ribosomal RNA". It matches the Rfam family "Bacterial small subunit ribosomal RNA", at positions 28 to 507 of the family's 1533-position model. The record is from RNAcentral.